GUAAGUCUAGUGGUAUGAUUCUAGCUUGGGGUGCGAGAGGUCGCAAGUUUGAUUCUUCCAACA
RNAcentral lists this transfer RNA (63 nucleotides) under Medicago truncatula (barrel medic). Its description in RNAcentral is "tRNA-OTHER". Lineage: Eukaryota; Viridiplantae; Streptophyta; Magnoliopsida; Fabales; Fabaceae. The record is from RNAcentral.